UGAAUACGAGAUGCUACGGCGUCGAAGCAGUCUAUGUCAUACUUCCAAGAAAAGCUCGCGCUGUCAUAAACAAAUAAUGCCUGUACCAUAACCGACACAGGUGGGUAGGUAGAGUAUACUAAGGGGCGCGAGAUAACUCUCUCUAAGGAACUCGGCAAAAUGACUCCGUAACUUCGGGAGAAGGAGUGCCUUAUUUAUAAGGUUGCAAUAACAAGAUCCAAGCAACUGUUUAUCAAAAACACAGGUCUCCGCUAAGUCGUAAGACGAUGUAUGGGGGCUGACGCCUGCCCAGUGCCAGAAGGUUAAAGAAGUUGGUUAGCAUUCGCGAAGCUGAUAACUGAAGCCCUGGUGAACGGCGGCCGUAACGAUAACGGUCCUAAGGUAGCGAAAUUCCUUGUCGGGUAAGUUCCGACCCGCACGAAAGGCGUAAUGAUUUGGAUACUGUCUCGGAGAGGGGCUCGGUGAAAUAGACUUGUCUGUGAAGAUGCGGACUACCUGCACCAGGACAGAAAGACCCUAUGAAGCUUUACUGUAACUUGAGAUUGAAAUUGGACUUUACUUGCGCAGUAUAGGUGGGAGGCGUUGAUAAUAUUCUUGCGGGAUUAUUUGAGCCAUCAGUGAGAUACCACUCUUGUAAUGUUAGAUUUCUAACUUUGUAUCAUUAUCUGGUCAAAGGACAGUUUCAGGCGGGCAGUUUGACUGGGGCGGUCGCCUCCUAAACGGUAACGGAGGCGCACAAAGGUUUCCUCUGAACGGGUAGAAAUCGUAUCUAGAGUGUAAAGGCAUAAGGAAGCUUGACUGUGAGACCUACAAGUCGAGCAGGGACGAAAGUCGGUCUUAGUGAUCUGACGGUGCUGAGUGGAAAGGCCGUCACUCAACGGAUAAAAGUUACUCUAGGAUAACAGGCUGAUCUCCCCCAAGAGUUCACAUCGACGGGGAGGUUUGGCACCUCGAUGUCGGCUCAUCGCAUCCUGGGGCGGUAGUACGUCCCAAGGGUUGGGCUGUUCGCCCAUGAAAGCGGUACGCGAGCUGGGUUCAGAACGUCGUGAGACAGUUCGGUCCAUAUCCGGUGUAGGCGUUAGAAUAUUGAGAGGAGCCUUCUUUAGUACGAGAGGACCGAGAAGGACAUACCUCUGGUGUACCAGUUAUCGUGCCAACGGUAAACGCUGGGUAGCUAUGUAUGGAGUGGAUAACCGCUGAAAGCAUCUAAGUGGGAAGCCCACCUCAAGAUAAG
Molecule: ribosomal RNA, 1234 nt
Filed under: metagenome
Description: bacterial LSU rRNA
Rfam family: Bacterial large subunit ribosomal RNA
Source: RNAcentral